UGUAGUCUAGUGGUAGAAUGCUUGCCUAUCAUGCACAAGGCCCAGGGUUCAAUUCCCUGCA
This 61-nucleotide transfer RNA is filed under the name Dipodomys ordii (Ord's kangaroo rat). It matches the Rfam family "tRNA", at positions 6 to 65 of the family's 71-position model. From Rfam's summary of the family: Transfer RNA (tRNA) molecules are approximately 80 nucleotides in length. Their secondary structure includes four short double-helical elements and three loops (D, anti-codon, and T loops). The record is from Rfam by way of RNAcentral. Lineage: Eukaryota; Metazoa; Chordata; Mammalia; Rodentia; Heteromyidae.